This 813-nucleotide long non-coding RNA is filed under the name Daphnia pulex (common water flea). RNAcentral's name for it is "uncharacterized LOC124204423, transcript variant X1". Lineage: Eukaryota; Metazoa; Arthropoda; Branchiopoda; Diplostraca; Daphniidae. The record is from RNAcentral.
CUGAAUUACCUCCAAUUCACUCAACUCAACUGUAUAUAUUUAAAGGGCCCGACAGGUGGCCCCAUUGCACAACCGCCUUUAACCCGAAAACCCUUUGUGCUUCCCCCACUUCAUGUCUCGGGAGGCGUUGGGGAGGCAGUGUGUCAGUAGAAGUGUCCAAGAGUCAAUGUAAAAUAUAGAAUACUUCACGCUCAGUCUUAAUACAAAAGGAUCAGGGCAUACAUCUAUCUUCCCGUGUCGUUUAACUCGUCUCAACUAAACAUAUUUCGAUUCUCUUUUCCCAGUUAACAGAUUCAGGAUACCACCUCAAUCUUUCUGUUUCCUCUUUCAGCCCAGAAAUCAGGUAGUACUUUACUGGCCAAUACUUGCAUCUGGAUAGAUGUAGGAUUGUUCUGAUCAUCCCGAUUUAAGGGUUUUGGCUGAAAAACAUCAGGUGCUUGCGGUAAAAUGUUGAUGUGAGGAAAUGCGAAACUCACCUUUAUCUGGGCACCUUUGAUAGUUCCCGUACUGUGAUGUAUAGAAGCACCAAACUUUUGUAUCUGCAAGAAGCUUUCUAAAACAUCUUGAUGGCAGUCUAUAUAGUAUUUGGUGAUAGCAGCGUAUAGGACUGCGAAGUCAGCUCCCCAGCAGUCAUGUUCAUUGUCAGUUUAAAAGAGGACUUAACAAGACGGACGAGAAAACCGACAUCAUUUCAUAUAUAUCGUACCUUAUGUGCAUUUAACCGCCUGUCUGUCUGUUUCCACUGGCUGUGAACAAAUGCCGAAAUUCAAUAAAUGUUGUGUGGGUCACUACUCUCAUUAAUUUCACGGGACA